GUGAAAUGAACUGUGCUCUUCCAAACCGAAGCACCUCUCGCAAUGGCGAGAAGGCUCUCUCUGCGCCCGCGAGUUUCCCGGCCCGGCUUUCGCGUCAUGACCUUCAACCCAGCUCUCCGCGACCCACUGACAUGCAGCGAGUUAUUGACUAGAUAAGGAUGGCUUUGCAGAGGAUCAUAAAACAUGGCUGAACAGAGGAUCUCCCAAAGUGCUCAAGUCGGUGUUUUUUCCCUAAAUGGAUGUGAA
This 246-nucleotide long non-coding RNA is filed under the name Mustela putorius furo (domestic ferret). RNAcentral's name for it is "lncRNA (ENSMPUG00000028769.1)". The record is from RNAcentral. Lineage: Eukaryota; Metazoa; Chordata; Mammalia; Carnivora; Mustelidae.